CUUUUAGAAUAAACCGUGUUCUGCUAGGGUUCAACAUGCCCACAAUAAUUCUGAGUUGUACAAUUUUCAGUGACAGGUGAGAGAAAGCAAGCAGGAUUGAACAAGUUCAUCCAUAAAUGAGGAAAUACCAGGUUUCCAUGCCUCCCAUAAAUUAAAACAUCCUUCCUGAUUAACUCAACCAUUGGUUACCUGCUGAAUGCUGGAAUAAAAUCAACAGGUGAACUCCCAGACAUUUGCAAAAAAUCCUGCUCCUGUCCUCCUCCGCCUCACCAUGUGAAGAAGACCAAGUUACCCUAAGGAAGAUGAGAGUGCACACAAAGCAAAGCCAACACAUCCACCUGAAACCAACUUAAGCCAGCAGCCCAGGAUGACCCGAUAGCUGGCCGCAGAGUCAGCUGAGACCAUAGGCUUCAGCUGAGCUCAGCCUAAAUUUCUAAUCUGAUGAAUCAUAAACUAAAUAAAUGGCUGUUGUGCUUUAAGCUACUAAAAUUUAAAGAUGUUUAAACAGGAAUAUGCAUAUCAUCUGACAAGAGUUUUAGUGUCAAAAUUCAAAUAAUAUUUCUGAAUUAGUUAACAUAGGCUGUUGUUAUAAUGACAUUUUAUUUUUAGGGAAUUCUAUACUCUAUAGGAAGUGAAUAGUAUUUCUUAUAUUUAAGCAACCACUGACAUAUUCUGCAAUGGGUAUCGGUAUUCCAUUCUGUUGAGAGGUUAGUGACAUCAUAAUUACACCCACAAUUGGAAAGUGGGAUAGGGGUGUGGGAUUUCUGGUACCCAGUACAAUUUUUUUAACUAUAUCACUGUUUUUCCUGGGAAAAUAAACAAAGCCAUUGUUUAUUUUCUUCAUUUACU
This is a non-coding RNA of Cricetulus griseus (Chinese hamster), 849 nucleotides long. Lineage: Eukaryota; Metazoa; Chordata; Mammalia; Rodentia; Cricetidae. The record is from RefSeq and is a predicted model, not a curated record.